RNAcentral lists this ribosomal RNA (486 nucleotides) under uncultured bacterium. RNAcentral's name for it is "partial 16S ribosomal RNA". It matches the Rfam family "Bacterial small subunit ribosomal RNA", at positions 30 to 507 of the family's 1533-position model. The record is from RNAcentral.
AUUGAACGCUGGCGGCAUGCCUUACACAUGCAAGUCGAACGGCAGCACGGGUGCUUGCCCCUGGUGGCGAGUGGCGAACGGGUGAGUAAUACAUCGGAACAUGUCCUGUAGUGGGGGAUAGCCCGGCGAAAGCCGGAUUAAUACCGCAUACGAUCUACGGAUGAAAGCGGGGGACCUUCGGGCCUCGCGCUAUAGGGUUGGCCGAUGGCUGAUUAGCUAGUUGGUGGGGUAAAGGCCUACCAAGGCGACGAUCAGUAGCUGGUCUGAGAGGACGACCAGCCACACUGGGGCUGAGACACGGCCCAGACUCCUACGGGAGGCAGCAGUGGGGAAUUUUGGACAAUGGGCGAAAGCCUGAUCCAGCAAUGCCGCGUGUGUGAAGAAGGCCUUCGGGUUGUAAAGCACUUUUGUCCGGAAAGAAAUCCUUGGCCCUAAUACGGUCGGGGGAUGACGGUACCGGAAGAAUAAGCACCGGCUAACUACGUG